GUGUUUGAUGGUGAAUGUGCGGUCAGGUGAAUUCUGCAGGUUGUUUGAAUUGAUCAGUUACCUUUUUCUGGAGGGCAUUAAUAGCAUAUUUAUUUUUUGGCGCCUUUGUAGAAAUAGGAACAUUUAUUAGAAAUAUGACAGAACAUUUUUGAAUCAUAUGCUGGUAUGACUGUGAUGUCUCAGCACAAUGAAUGUUAUGCCAAAAGAAGCUCCAAUUUAUGGAGGUGGAAAAAUAAUUGCAGAAGUACAUAAUCAAUCUCCAGAACAGAAUCUAAGUUAUUAUUUAGUAUUUAAAGGCUCACAAAAAAGACAUACUGUUCCUGCUACUACUGUGUGCAGUAACAAUGUACUCCAACUUAUUGCUACCAUA
Long non-coding RNA from Stegodyphus dumicola, 370 nucleotides. The record is from RefSeq and is a predicted model, not a curated record. NCBI's taxonomy places the organism in Eukaryota, Metazoa, Arthropoda, Arachnida, Araneae, Eresidae.